AUCUUGAGCUCGACUGCAAGCAUAAAGCUACAGUCUUAACUCCAUUCGGCCGCAAGCACAAGCUACAACCUCAUCUAAGUCUACUACAAGCAUAAGCUACGGCCUCACCUCGAGCUCGACUGCAAGCACAUAGCUUCGGCCUUAAUUCCGUCCAACCGCAAGCAUAAAGCUAUGGCCUUAACUUCGUUCGGCUACAAGCAUGAAGCUAUGGUCUUAACUCCAUUUGGCCACA
This 232-nucleotide long non-coding RNA is filed under the name Elaeis guineensis (African oil palm). RNAcentral's name for it is "long non-coding RNA (EGUI_LNC018506)". The record is from RNAcentral. Lineage: Eukaryota; Viridiplantae; Streptophyta; Magnoliopsida; Arecales; Arecaceae.